This 76-nucleotide transfer RNA is filed under the name Clostridiales bacterium. RNAcentral's name for it is "tRNA-Lys". It matches the Rfam family "tRNA". Rfam says of the family: Transfer RNA (tRNA) molecules are approximately 80 nucleotides in length. Lineage: Bacteria; Bacillati; Bacillota; Clostridia; Eubacteriales. The record is from RNAcentral.
GCGCCUUUAGCUCAGUUGGUAGAGCACCUGACUCUUAAUCAGGGUGUCCCCGGUUCGAGUCCGUGAAGGCGCACCA